AUGCUUGGUGCUUUAGGGAGCUUGCCAACUAUAUCCAUCCCCCAUCUCAUGAAUGGCCAAGAGGAUGGUAUAGGAUGUAGAAAUUCAGCCGGCUGAUGAAGGAUAUUGCUGUGUCUUUGACAAGGAUCACACUUCUUAGCAUACUCCACAGCAUCCCUUUUCAUAGUUGGCCAGUAGUAUCCUGUCCUUAAGAUCCUUGAGAACAAUGCCCUGCC
RNAcentral lists this long non-coding RNA (215 nucleotides) under Helianthus annuus (common sunflower). RNAcentral's name for it is "hypothetical non coding rna". The record is from RNAcentral. Lineage: Eukaryota; Viridiplantae; Streptophyta; Magnoliopsida; Asterales; Asteraceae.